UUCCACAGCUACUGGUCUGCCACGGUUAUUGUGGUAGCAAUUAUGGUAUUCCUCUGUGGGAAAGAGCCUGUUACAAGGCUAAACACCUCUGAACAAAACACCAAGUGGUAAUAUCUGUGACAUACAAGA
Molecule: small nucleolar RNA, 129 nt
Organism: Talpa occidentalis (Iberian mole)
Lineage: Eukaryota; Metazoa; Chordata; Mammalia; Eulipotyphla; Talpidae
Product: small nucleolar RNA SNORA41
Exons: 1
Source: RefSeq, a predicted model, not a curated record